UACGGAGGGUGCAAGCGUUGUUCGGAAUUACUGGGCGUAAAGCGCGUGUAGGCGGCCGAUUAAGUCUGGUGUGAAAGCCCGGGGCUCACCCCCGGAAGUGCGCUGGAAACUGGUCGGCUAGAGUAUGGGAGAGGAAAGUGGAAUUCCCGGUGUAGCGGUGAAAUGCGUAGAUAUCAGGAGGAACACCGAUGGCGAAGGCAGGUCUCUGGGCAUUAACUGACGCUGAGGAGCGAAAGCAUGGGGAGCGAACAGG
This 253-nucleotide ribosomal RNA is filed under the name uncultured bacterium. RNAcentral's name for it is "partial 16S ribosomal RNA". It matches the Rfam family "Bacterial small subunit ribosomal RNA", at positions 524 to 776 of the family's 1533-position model. The record is from RNAcentral.